This 274-nucleotide ribosomal RNA is filed under the name uncultured bacterium. RNAcentral's name for it is "partial 16S ribosomal RNA". It matches the Rfam family "Bacterial small subunit ribosomal RNA", at positions 523 to 796 of the family's 1533-position model. The record is from RNAcentral.
AUACGGAGGGUGCAAGCGUUAUCCGGAUUUAUUGGGUUUAAAGGGUCCGUAGGCGGACCAAUAAGUCAGUGGUGAAAUCUUUCGGCUCAACCGGAAAACUGCCAUUGAUACUGUUGGUCUUGAAUAUGUUUGAAGUGGGCGGAAUAUGGCAUGUAGCGGUGAAAUGCAUAGAUAUGCCAUAGAACACCGAUAGCGAAGGCAGCUCACUAAGCCAUCAUUGACGCUAAUGGACGAAAGCGUGGGGCGCGAACAGGAUUAGAUACCCCUGUAGUCC